GACGAACGCUGGCGGCGUGCUUAACACAUGCAAGUCGAACGGAAAGGCCCUGCUUUUGUGGGGUGCUCGAGUGGCGAACGGGUGAGUAACACGUGAGUAACCUGCCCUUGACUUUGGGAUAACUUCAGGAAACUGGGGCUAAUACCGGAUAGGAUCUCCUGCUGCAUGGUGGGGGUUGGAAAGUUUCGGCGGUUGGGGCUGGACUCGCGGCUUAUCAGCUUGUUGGUGGGGUAGUGGCUUACCAAGGCUUUGAUGGGUAGCCGGCCUGAGAGGGUGACCGGCCACCAUGGGACUGAGAGACGGCGCAGACUCCUACGGGAGGCAGCAGGGGGGAAUAUUGCACAAUGGGCGGAAGCCUGAUGCAGCAACGCCGCGUGCGGGAUGACGGCCUUCGGGUUGAAAACCGCUUUCGCCUGUGACGAAGCGGGAGUGACGGUAAUGGGUAAAGAAGCACCGGCUAACUACGUG
RNAcentral lists this ribosomal RNA (468 nucleotides) under uncultured bacterium. RNAcentral describes it as "partial 16S ribosomal RNA". It matches the Rfam family "Bacterial small subunit ribosomal RNA", at positions 28 to 507 of the family's 1533-position model. The record is from RNAcentral.